GGGGGCGAUUUGGGCUCGACGGGGUAGUGGCGCUACUGAAGAUCAUGCCGGGGUCUCCACGUUAGAGAGAAAAAACAAAGAAUAAGUGCCAACGAAGAAUUGGCUCUUGCAGCUUAGCGCUGUAAGCCCUAACUUACUGAUUGCCCUUCUAGGUAGGUUAGGGUCGUUAGAGGGGCUAGGUUACUUCUUCGCCUAAAAGAAGUAACUGAAAACAACACUAGGCUGUGGCUAACUGAAAACGCCUAUCUUGUCAGUUAGUCGAGAUAUUUCGGUAGGAUAAGCAUGUACAAAUCUUCAGGUGUGCCUUUCCUCGGACAGGGGUUCAAUUCCCCUCGCCUCCAUAU
This 344-nucleotide transfer-messenger RNA is filed under the name bacterium. It matches the Rfam family "transfer-messenger RNA". From Rfam's summary of the family: Bacterial tmRNA, also known as 10Sa RNA or SsrA, is named for its dual tRNA and mRNA-like properties. Its role is to liberate the mRNA from a stalled ribosome. RNAcentral also lists the same sequence under 1 other name. The record is from RNAcentral.